UACGAAGGGGGCUAGCGUUGUUCGGAAUCACUGGGCGUAAAGGGCGCGUAGGCGGCUGUUCAAGUCGGGGGUGAAAUCCCGUGGCUCAACCACGGAAUGGCCUUCGAUACUGGACGGCUCGAGACCGGAAGAGGUGAGUGGAACUGCGAGUGUAGAGGUGAAAUUCGUAGAUAUUCGCAAGAACACCAGUGGCGAAGGCGGCUCACUGGUCCGGUUCUGACGCUGAGGAGCGAAAGCGUGGGGAGCGAACAGG
This 253-nucleotide ribosomal RNA is filed under the name uncultured bacterium. RNAcentral describes it as "partial 16S ribosomal RNA". It matches the Rfam family "Bacterial small subunit ribosomal RNA", at positions 524 to 776 of the family's 1533-position model. The record is from RNAcentral.